RNAcentral lists this ribosomal RNA (593 nucleotides) under uncultured bacterium. RNAcentral's name for it is "bacterial SSU rRNA". It matches the Rfam family "Bacterial small subunit ribosomal RNA", at positions 338 to 950 of the family's 1533-position model. The record is from RNAcentral.
CCUACGGGAGGCAGCAGUGGGGAAUAUUGGACAAUGGGCGAAAGCCUGAUCCAGCAAUGCCGCGUGAGUGAUGAAGGCCUUCGGGUCGUAAAGCUCUUUUACCAGGGAUGAUAAUGACAGUACCUGGAGAAUAAGCUCCGGCUAACUCCGUGCCAGCAGCCGCGGUAAUACGGAGGGAGCUAGCGUUGUUCGGAAUUACUGGGCGUAAAGAGUACGUAGGCGGUUAUUCAAGUCAGAGGUGAAAGCCCGGGGCUCAACCCCGGAACUGCCUUUGAAACUAGAUAACUAGAGUCUUGGAGAGGUUAGUGGAAUUCCGAGUGUAGAGGUGAAAUUCGUAGAUAUUCGGAAGAACACCAGUGGCGAAGGCGACUAACUGGACAAGUACUGACGCUGAGGUACGAAAGCGUGGGGAGCAAACAGGAUUAGAUACCCUGGUAGUCCACGCCGUAAACGAUGAUAACUAGUUGUUCGGUCACUUGGUGACUGAGUGACGCAGCUAACGCAUUAAGUUAUCCGCCUGGGGAGUACGGUCGCAAGAUUAAAACUCAAAGGAAUUGACGGCUGGAGAGUUGCGAGACGACACGAGGAGGAGG